RNAcentral lists this long non-coding RNA (1565 nucleotides) under Cyanistes caeruleus (blue tit). Its description in RNAcentral is "lncRNA (ENSCCEG00000020891.1)". Lineage: Eukaryota; Metazoa; Chordata; Aves; Passeriformes; Paridae. The record is from RNAcentral.
GUCACAACCAAUUAGUUGCACCUCCCCAGCUCCUAGAAGAUGAUGGAGAGCAGCUGUGCCUGCAAUGCCCAGUCCCUGGUUACCUGUUCAUCUGUCCCCACCAGCUCCUCUGGCUGCAAAAGGCAUAAAGUCCUGGGUUUUGCAUGAACACAAACUCAUCGUGAUCCUGCUCGGAGGCACACGGCAACACCAGGACUUGUCAGCGCCUUUCAGAGUCGAGUGCCUCACUACCAGGCUGGUAACAUAACAGUACCUCUCCUGGGGCCAAGCAACUAUUGCUGAGACAUCACAAGAUCUCAAGCCAGCAGGUGGUGCAGCAGAGGACUUGUGGUCCCAAAAGCACACCCUCAGAAGUGAAGGUCCAUCCCAGCCCAGGUUCAGAGGAGGGAGAAGGAACCAGAGCAGUGCCCAGCAAACCACACAGCACAAGGGAUCUGCAGGAGCUUUACAUGAAGUCGAACUUCACUUCCCUUGUCAGCCUGCUCUGAGUGACUCACUGAAGGUGCUGAACAGACUAACGAGUGGGAGGAGGAAACGGGCGGGGGGAGAGGAAGAAAGGGAGACAGGCAGUAAGAUGAAACUAGGAACAUUGAUAUAUAUGACCAAAAAAAAAAGAAGAGAGACUGUUUUUUUAGAAAGUUGCACUACUCCUUCCACUAGUCCUUUUCGAACUCUAAUGUGAAUGGCGUAGAAUCAAACAUCUCCGAGAUUUGAGGAAGAAAAAAAGAAGUAUGAAUAGCUAAAGUGAGAUGAUAUCACGUUUAACCUGAUAUUUAUGAUGAAACUCCAGGGGUUUUAUUUAUUCAGAUGUCACUUACUGUUCAUCCCAAGCGUAACAGAGGACAUGUUGGAAUUGCAAUCUUUAUUUAGGGUUUGUUAGCAUGAUUCAAUUUUUUACUGCCCUUUUGGGAGUUAUUUUUCAUCUUUAGGCAGAUAUCACUGCUAAGAGGAAAAGAGGUGGGGUUUUUUUUAUAUUAUUUUUUCUUUUUUCUUUUUUUUUUUCCCUAGCUCCUUGGGCAAGAUGGUUAUUAAGCAAAUGGGAAUUUGAGUUUUUGAAUUUGCUGGGGUGUGUGCUGGGCUGUCCCCUGACCUGUGAUAGGACAUACUGCAGUCUGGUUUUUUUAAAGGAUCAGAGCUAUAGGGCAGGAGUGACUCCUUUGGGCAUCUCUGCUUUGAAGAUACUGCAAAAAAGCAAGUAAUGCUUAACACCAAACCAGAAUUUUUACUGUUAUUGAAGACAGGGUAUUUUGCGUAGAGUACUGUGAUUGGCACAGCGUCUCUAAAGACCAAAAGUCAUGUAUAUUACUUUUCCUGGAGAGGCUCCCUGUAUCCUAACCUGCCCAUGUUCCUCUCAUCCUUUUCCUACCCCAUCCUACUUUAAGUCUCACCAGGAUCUCUUGAGAGCUGUUUCUUAUCAGAGCCUCUGAGUUUGCCAACCUCUGCAUUGGUGGUGUGACGUACACAAACAAAGAUUUCUCCGAGAUAAUUGUCUUCAUUCAGGGAGUAAUUUGAGAUUUAUAUCCUGAUGUCCAUAAAUAAAAGGCCACAAAGUCUAUGGCUGAGCA